This 185-nucleotide ribosomal RNA is filed under the name Listeria monocytogenes. RNAcentral's name for it is "partial 16S ribosomal RNA". It matches the Rfam family "Bacterial small subunit ribosomal RNA", at positions 1 to 180 of the family's 1533-position model. Lineage: Bacteria; Bacillati; Bacillota; Bacilli; Caryophanales; Listeriaceae. The record is from RNAcentral.
UUUAAAGAGAGUUUGAUCCUGGCUCAGGACGAACGCUGGCGGCGUGCCUAAUACAUGCAAGUCGAACGAACAUUGGAAGAGCUUGCUCUUCCAAUGUUAGUGGCGGACGGGUGAGUAACACGUGGGCAACCUGCCUGUAAGUUGGGGAUAACUCCGGGAAACCGGGGCUAAUACCGAAUGAUAGA